AAGUUUCUCAGGGACUGACUUUUGUUCAACAUCCUGACAAAGAAGGAAAUGUUCGAUUUGCACUGCGGGCACUAGGAGAUAAUGUAGAAAAUGUGAAAGAUGAGGUUGCUAUGAUCCGUUCAUUCCUGAAGCGAAAAUUCCCCCAAGAGGAUUUGAGAAAUGAAUAUGUAACCGCAGGAAGUGAUGAAGUUCGUAUCUAAACCACAUCUCUUUCUGCAAAGAUCCAUGUAUGAGUAUUAAUAUACUAUUAUCAUGUUCUUGUUUCAGGUUGAUCUCAAUGAAAGAGUUUUUGGGAGUUACCUCUUGAAUGAAUCACAUAACGAAGUUGAAGAACACGCUCCAUUGAGUGUUAUGCAGGAACUACAUCCUAGCAAUUGUGCGAGAGCUAAAGAGUGUCACCCCGGUUUAUUGUUACCACAUGAACAAGUGGCUGCUAAGAAAGCACACACUGAAAACUUUGAUAGGGCAAUUCAAGGAAGUGUAGGAUCAACUUUACCAGAUAAGCAUACCACUACCCAGGAAUUGGAUCCUAGUUUUUCUGCAAGAACCAAAGAGGAUUACAUUGGUUUAUCUUUACCACACAUGGUUGCUAUGGUGUGUACAUAAAUGUUUGCUUCAUUAUCAAACAAUGCUUAUAGUUAUGUAUGUUUAUGUCAUACUGAACUGAACCUCAACUAUAGAAAGCAAGCAUUGAAAAGUUUGAUAAGGCCAAUCAAGGCCAUGUAGAAUCAACCAAAGAGGGUUACACCAAUCAAGUGUAGAAUCAACUUUGCCAGAUAAGCAGAUCACUACCCAAGCAUUGCAUCCUAGCUUUUCUUUGAGAACCAAAGAGGAUAACACUGGUUCAUCUUUACCACACAUGAAAGCACACAUUGAAAAAAUUGAUAGGGUCAAACAAGGCUGUGCGGCAUCAACUUUACCAGACAAGACUAAUCAGGAAUUGCAUCCUAGCAAUUGUGCAAGAACCAAUGAGGGUUGCACCAGUUUAUCU
Non-coding RNA from Triticum urartu, 991 nucleotides. Lineage: Eukaryota; Viridiplantae; Streptophyta; Magnoliopsida; Poales; Poaceae. The record is from RefSeq and is a predicted model, not a curated record.